UAGAGUUUGAUCCUGGCUCAGAUUGAACGCUAGCGGGAUGCCUUACACAUGCAAGUCGAACGGCAGCACGGACUUCGGUCUGGUGGCGAGUGGCGAACGGGUGAGUAAUGUAUCGGAACGUGCCCAGUAGCGGGGGAUAACUACGCGAAAGCGUAGCUAAUACCGCAUACGCCCUACGGGGGAAAGCAGGGGAUCGCAAGACCUUGCACUAUUGGAGCGGCCGAUAUCGGAUUAGCUAGUUGGUGGGGUAACGGUUCACCAAGGCGACGAUCCGUAGCUGGUUUGAGAGGACGACCAGCCACACUGGGACUGAGACACGGCCCAGACUCCUACGGGAGGCCGCAGUGGGGAAUUUUGGA
This 359-nucleotide ribosomal RNA is filed under the name uncultured bacterium. RNAcentral describes it as "bacterial SSU rRNA". It matches the Rfam family "Bacterial small subunit ribosomal RNA", at positions 1 to 368 of the family's 1533-position model. The record is from RNAcentral.